Molecule: ribosomal RNA, 244 nt
Filed under: uncultured bacterium
Lineage: Bacteria
Description: partial 16S ribosomal RNA
Rfam family: Bacterial small subunit ribosomal RNA
Source: RNAcentral
GAAGGCAAGCGGAUCUCUUAAAGCCGUUCUCAGUUCGGACUGUAGGCUGCAACUCGCCUACACGAAGCUGGGAUCGCUAGUAAUCGCGGAUCAGCACGCCGCGGUGAAUACGUUCCCGGGCCUUGUACACACCGCCCGUCACACCAUGAGAGUCUGUAACACCCAAAGCCGGUGGGAUAACCUUUAUAGGAGUCAGCCGUCUAAGGUAGGACAGAUGAUUAGGGUGAAGUCGUAACAAGGUAAC